This is a non-coding RNA of Trichonephila inaurata madagascariensis, 72 nucleotides long. The record is from the annotation of a GenBank genome assembly. NCBI's taxonomy places the organism in Eukaryota, Metazoa, Arthropoda, Arachnida, Araneae, Nephilidae.
GUCCCUGUAGAGCAAUGGAUAGCUUUCGGACAUCUAAUCCAAAUACCGUGGGUUCGAAUCCUACCAGGGAUG